Small nuclear RNA from Rattus norvegicus (Norway rat), 109 nucleotides. The record is from Ensembl. Lineage: Eukaryota; Metazoa; Chordata; Mammalia; Rodentia; Muridae.
AUGCUUGCUUUUAUAGCAUAAAUACUAAAACUGUAACAGUACAGAGUAGAUUGGUGUGGCCCCCUAGGCAAGGAUGAUAGUCAAACUUAUGGAAGUGUUUCGUAUUUUU